GACGAACGCUGGCGGCGUGCUUAACACAUGCAAGUCGAGCGGUAAGGCCCUUUCGGGGGUACACGAGCGGCGAACGGGUGAGUAACACGUGGGUGACCUGCCCUCAGCUCUGGGAUAAGCCUGGGAAACUGGGUCUAAUACCGGAUAUGACUCCAUGACGCAUGUUGUGGGGUGGAAAGCCUUGUGCGGCUGAGGAUGGGCCCGCGGCCUAUCAGCUUGUUGGUGGGGUGANGGCCUACCAAGGCGACGACGGGUAGCCGGCCUGAGAGGGCGACCGGCCACACUGGGACUGAGACACGGCCCAGACUCCUACGGGAGGCAGCAGUGGGGAAUCUUGCGCAAUGGGCGAAAGCCUGACGCAGCGACGCCGCGUGAGGGAUGAC
This 383-nucleotide ribosomal RNA is filed under the name uncultured bacterium. Its description in RNAcentral is "bacterial SSU rRNA". It matches the Rfam family "Bacterial small subunit ribosomal RNA", at positions 28 to 412 of the family's 1533-position model. The record is from RNAcentral.